This 185-nucleotide ribosomal RNA is filed under the name uncultured eukaryote. RNAcentral describes it as "partial 18S ribosomal RNA". It matches the Rfam family "Eukaryotic small subunit ribosomal RNA", at positions 1299 to 1458 of the family's 1831-position model. The record is from RNAcentral.
UGGUGGAGCGAUUUGUCUGGUUAAUUCCGAUAACGAACGAGACUCUAGCCUGCUAACUAGCUCGCGGAACAGUCAUUUCAAGACGGCUCCUCGUGGGUCGGCCCUUGGUGACAACCGUUCCGCGGCGAUCGAGAACUUCUUAGAGGGACAAGUGGCGUUUAGCCACACGAGAUUGAGCAAUAACA